Molecule: long non-coding RNA, 2393 nt
Organism: Podarcis muralis (Common wall lizard)
Lineage: Eukaryota; Metazoa; Chordata; Lepidosauria; Squamata; Lacertidae
Source: RefSeq, a predicted model, not a curated record
GUUUCCUAUUAUGCUAGGGGAAUAAGACGCCUACUGUCCUCCCCACUCCUACGCCGCCGUUAAGCGAUCAGGGCCGCAGGAUUCCAUAUUAGACUUAAGAGGCGGAGGCAGAAUUUUAAGGAGCACAGGAAAAAUUCAGAACAUUACUCAUCUUUUCCACUUGCUGAAGACUGGAGAAGGGACCCGCAUGAGAAUAUGAUGGGAGGGGGAGCAUGACUUCGCUUUUGAAGGCGGAUGAAGAUUUGUUUGUGGGGCCACCUUAAGCCUUGUUGAACCUUGCAAGUGGUUGGAGCAACAUUGAGUUUCUGAAACUGUGACUAAACCGUGCAUUCAUUUUGGGAUCCUGCCCUUGUGUAGACCUGUUGUGUGCACUUGCUACAUGUUAUAUGUGCAAUGAGCCUGCACAACAUGCGACUCGUCAGGUUGACUGCAGGCUGCAUAAUGCAGCAAAAGCUGGUGCUUGACAAUUCCUGUAGCACAUUGACUUCAGCAGACUGGGCCACAUGUGGUACAGGCCUAGUGCCUAAGAGUACUAUGAGACACUUCCGCUAAUCCUUAUGAGAGUCGCUGGGCAUAAGAGUCAGACCAAGUUACCCAUUCUCAUGCCAAACCUAUUUGGAUUAGUUUCAUGCUCUCCGAUAACCUUGAGAUAUAUAUAUCUUUCACUCGCUGCAUUAAUGGUUUCACUGACCUUGUGCAAUUGAUCUGCAUUUUGUUGCCAGUGAGGAGACAGUUUCUUGGUACCUGCCUUUAAAAUUGUGUUGUUUGUCAAGGGUUGCAGCUCUCAUUACACUGAUAAGGCACAUUCUCCAUUUCCUGGAUUUCUCUGCUGAGGACUUCCAGAGCACAUUUAGGCCACUCUGAUUUUUAAAAUAUUGAUAAUCUUAGGAGCGGACUUUGAAUACAAUGUUGCCAACAUACUGAAGCGCCAAACAAAAAGUGUUAAAGAAAUAACAGAGUCUAAGCCACAAUUUUCAUUAUCACAAUACUCACGUUAGAGCUAUGGAUAGCUGAGUUAUAUGAAAUAUGAAAAUCUAAUUGUUUUGCACCAAAUGCAUUUUACAAAAUGCAGGAUAAAAAUAGUCCAGUGCUGUUUCUCUUCUGUGCUUUCUUUUGGAGCAAGACUGCUUUUAUGGUGGAGUUAUUACAACCGGGUGUUUGCAAUCAAAAUGCUGAUCCAGGCAAAAUCACCACACAAUAAUACUAACCCCCACCCAAGGGCUGUUUGAAGUAAUAAAAUAUGGAUCAGAAUAAAAUUAAAGUGCUUCUGUAAUGGAAGAAUAUGAGCUGCAAUUCAACUAACUUGAAGGCCCUGGCUUUUAUCCCAAAUACUGCUAAGCUUUUGAGUAGGAAAUAGAAUCCAAAGUACUCCAUCCUGCAAAGUCUUUUAAUUGUGUACCAAUACACAAUGUAGUGUAGUGCCCAUGGAAAUAAAACUUAUACAAGGUUAACAGUUAAAGUUCUCCCCAAAGAAUCUUGGGCAUCAUAGUAUUUACGACAAUGCCAUUUAUUCUCUGAAAGCGAUAGCUAGCCUUCUUCACAGAAAGUUACUUCACAAGAGUCUUUAGAAAGAGAAUGACAAGCUAAACCUGUCUAAGACUAUAGUGCAGAUAGGUCCUUGUAGGAUUAUUCACUGCAUGGUUAGUCACUGGCAAAAUAUCAAGCUUUGAUAGCAUAGUGUAUCUUCAUUGCAUGUUUUGCAAACAGUUUGCAAAAUAUCUGUCCAAAACAGAAUUUAUCUUUAUUGCACUGAACAAACAAACAGCACACAAGAACAUCCUAGCUAUAGAACAAAAGAAAAGAAUGAAUUUGUGCUGCUUUCACCACACUGAAAGUGCUGCUUCUGCACAUAACCUGCAGCAAAUUGCAUGUACACCAGGGUCAAAACAAGCUUGAGGCAUGAUCCAAUACAAGCCCCAUAAAGCCAGAACUUCUGAAGACUUUCCCAAACAGAGCUCACCACAAGGAGACUGAAAACUCACUUGGGGUAGGGGGUGGGAAGGAAAGGUCUUGCAAAUCCAAAGCCAUGGAUGUCACCCAAAGGCGCUAAGCUGUGUUUCCUCCAACAAAACAAAAUCUUAGUUUAAUAUUGACUCUCAAAUGCCAAUCCAAAUUUCUUUCAACUGAAGCUGUAACGCAAGCCCAAAAUUCUGAUACUUACAAGUAUUGCUUCCAACUUUAUCUCUAAUUCAAGUUGCCCAUCAUAACUAUUCAUUGUGAACUGAGGUUCUGACAGCUAGCAGAAGCAUACGGUAUAUUGCAGCCAUUUAGAGAGAAAAGGAAUGUGGUUCUUAAUUGAUUGGUGAUGUGGUAGUGUUGUGUUGUAUUAUUUAUGCAAAUUGAUUUCCUCUGAAGUUAAAUAUCUGACUGGGACAAACCUUGUUACGCUGAGC